UUUACCACUACAAGUCUCCACCACCUCCUCCCCCAGUUUACAAAUACAAGUCUCCACCACCACCACCACCAGUUUACCACUACAAGUCACCACCACCUCCUCCCCCAGUUUACAAAUACAAGUCUCCACCACCUCCUCACCACUACUAAGCAAUUGCUUCUGAGGUAAUAACACUUGUUCAAUAUACACACUUCUGCAUGAUAAAACAUAUCUCUAUCAACACAAACUGUCAUGUCUAUCAUGCUAAGUGCCUUCACUUCAUCCACGAAAAUGACUGCUAGAAAAUUUUUUUUUAAGUUACCAAAGAAAAGCAUCAUUUUUUCCCUCUGUUAUCAAGAACUUGUACAGUAUGUAGAUUAAAGAGUUUUUAUUUUAACUAGCUUAUCAACUUAGAAAUGCAUAUAACUGAUAGCCAGCUGAAUAUUUGCAGGCAAAGGAGAAGGAAACCAGUGUUUGGACCUUCUUGAAGAUGUAGAAGCAUAAGAAUAAAAGCCCAAUGUGAAGAUGAUGAUUUCAAGUUUUUCUACGUUACCAUUUCUAUAUCUAAAUUCGUUGUAGCGCCUUAGUUCCUUUGUUUAUGGGAUUUGUAUCGUUUUACGUACCAUGCA
Molecule: long non-coding RNA, 608 nt
Filed under: Coffea arabica (coffee)
Lineage: Eukaryota; Viridiplantae; Streptophyta; Magnoliopsida; Gentianales; Rubiaceae
Description: long non-coding RNA (CARA_LNC006955)
Source: RNAcentral